This 226-nucleotide ribosomal RNA is filed under the name Bacillus anthracis (anthrax bacterium). RNAcentral's name for it is "partial 16S ribosomal RNA". It matches the Rfam family "Bacterial small subunit ribosomal RNA", at positions 7 to 221 of the family's 1533-position model. The record is from RNAcentral. Lineage: Bacteria; Bacillati; Bacillota; Bacilli; Caryophanales; Bacillaceae.
GAGAGUUUGAUCCUGGCUCAGGAUGAACGCUGGCGGCGUGCCUAAUACAUGCAAGUCGAGCGAAUGGAUUAAGAGCUUGCUCUUAUGAAGUUAGCGGCGGACGGGGGAGUAACACGUGGGUAACCUGCCCAUAAGACUGGGAUAACUCCGGGAAACCGGGGCUAAUACCGGAUAACAUUUUGAACCGCAUGGUUCGAAAUUGAAAGGCGGCUUCGGCUGUCACUUA